Molecule: ribosomal RNA, 1551 nt
Organism: Staphylococcus haemolyticus JCSC1435
Lineage: Bacteria; Bacillati; Bacillota; Bacilli; Caryophanales; Staphylococcaceae
Rfam family: Bacterial small subunit ribosomal RNA
Source: Rfam
UUUAUGGAGAGUUUGAUCCUGGCUCAGGAUGAACGCUGGCGGCGUGCCUAAUACAUGCAAGUCGAGCGAACAGACAAGGAGCUUGCUCCUUUGACGUUAGCGGCGGACGGGUGAGUAACACGUGGGUAACCUACCUAUAAGACUGGGAUAACUUCGGGAAACCGGAGCUAAUACCGGAUAAUAUUUCGAACCGCAUGGUUCGAUAGUGAAAGAUGGUUUUGCUAUCACUUAUAGAUGGACCCGCGCCGUAUUAGCUAGUUGGUAAGGUAACGGCUUACCAAGGCGACGAUACGUAGCCGACCUGAGAGGGUGAUCGGCCACACUGGAACUGAGACACGGUCCAGACUCCUACGGGAGGCAGCAGUAGGGAAUCUUCCGCAAUGGGCGAAAGCCUGACGGAGCAACGCCGCGUGAGUGAUGAAGGUCUUCGGAUCGUAAAACUCUGUUAUUAGGGAAGAACAUACGUGUAAGUAACUAUGCACGUCUUGACGGUACCUAAUCAGAAAGCCACGGCUAACUACGUGCCAGCAGCCGCGGUAAUACGUAGGUGGCAAGCGUUAUCCGGAAUUAUUGGGCGUAAAGCGCGCGUAGGCGGUUUUUUAAGUCUGAUGUGAAAGCCCACGGCUCAACCGUGGAGGGUCAUUGGAAACUGUAAAACUUGAGUGCAGAAGAGGAAAGUGGAAUUCCAUGUGUAGCGGUGAAAUGCGCAGAGAUAUGGAGGAACACCAGUGGCGAAGGCGACUUUCUGGUCUGUAACUGACGCUGAUGUGCGAAAGCGUGGGGAUCAAACAGGAUUAGAUACCCUGGUAGUCCACGCCGUAAACGAUGAGUGCUAAGUGUUAGGGGGUUUCCGCCCCUUAGUGCUGCAGCUAACGCAUUAAGCACUCCGCCUGGGGAGUACGACCGCAAGGUUGAAACUCAAAGGAAUUGACGGGGACCCGCACAAGCGGUGGAGCAUGUGGUUUAAUUCGAAGCAACGCGAAGAACCUUACCAAAUCUUGACAUCCUUUGACAACUCUAGAGAUAGAGCCUUCCCCUUCGGGGGACAAAGUGACAGGUGGUGCAUGGUUGUCGUCAGCUCGUGUCGUGAGAUGUUGGGUUAAGUCCCGCAACGAGCGCAACCCUUAAGCUUAGUUGCCAUCAUUAAGUUGGGCACUCUAAGUUGACUGCCGGUGACAAACCGGAGGAAGGUGGGGAUGACGUCAAAUCAUCAUGCCCCUUAUGAUUUGGGCUACACACGUGCUACAAUGGACAAUACAAAGGGCAGCGAAACCGCGAGGUCAAGCAAAUCCCAUAAAGUUGUUCUCAGUUCGGAUUGUAGUCUGCAACUCGACUACAUGAAGCUGGAAUCGCUAGUAAUCGUAGAUCAGCAUGCUACGGUGAAUACGUUCCCGGGUCUUGUACACACCGCCCGUCACACCACGAGAGUUUGUAACACCCGAAGCCGGUGGAGUAACCAUUUGGAGCUAGCCGUCGAAGGUGGGACAAAUGAUUGGGGUGAAGUCGUAACAAGGUAGCCGUAUCGGAAGGUGCGGCUGGAUCACCUCCUUU